AGAGUUUGAUCCUGGCUCAGGAUGAACGCCGGCGGUGUGCCUAAUACAUGCAAGUCGUACGCACUGGCCCAACUGAUUGAUGGUGCUUGCACCUGAUUGACGAUGGAUCACCAGUGAGUGGCGGACGGGUGAGUAACACGUAGGCAACCUGCCCCGGAGCGGGGGAUAACAUUUGGAAACAGAUGCUAAUACCGCAUAACAACAAAAGUCACAUGGCUUUUGUUUGAAAGAUGGCUUUGGCUAUCACUCUGGGAUGGACCUGCGGUGCAUUAGCUAGUUGGUAAGGUAACGGCUUACCAAGGCGAUGAUGCAUAGCCGAGUUGAGAGACUGAUCGGCCACAAUGGAACUGAGACACGGUCCAUACUCCUACGGGAGGCAGCAGUAGGGAAUCUUCCACAAUGGGCGCAAGCCUGAUGGAGCAACACCGCGUGAGUGAAGAGGGGUUUCGGCUCGUAAAGCUCUGUUGUUGGAGAAGAACGUGCGUGAGAGUAACUGUUCACGCAGUGACGGUAUCCAACCAGAAAGUCACGGCUAACUACGUGCCAGCAGCCGCGGUAAUACGUAGGUGGCAAGCGUUAUCCGGAUUUAUUGGGCGUAAAGCGAGCGCAGGCGGUUGCUUAGGUCUGAUGUGAAAGCCUUCGGCUUAACCGAAGAAGUGCAUCGGAAACCGGGCGACUUGAGUGCAGAAGAGGACAGUGGAACUCCAUGUGUAGCGGUGGAAUGCGUAGAUAUAUGGAAGAACACCAGUGGCGAAGGCGGCUGUCUGGUCUGCAACUGACGCUGAGGCUCGAAAGCAUGGGUAGCGAACAGGAUUAGAUACCCUGGUAGUCCAUGCCGUAAACGAUGAGUGCUAGGUGUUGGAGGGUUUCCGCCCUUCAGUGCCGGAGCU
Molecule: ribosomal RNA, 890 nt
Filed under: uncultured bacterium
Lineage: Bacteria
Description: bacterial SSU rRNA
Rfam family: Bacterial small subunit ribosomal RNA
Source: RNAcentral